UGCAAACCUAAAAACACCGCAAACCCCUCUUUCAUCACCACCUGGAUGACUGAAGAGAAACAGAAAGCCACUCUUAACCCCUGAGAAGCUGGGCUCACACUGAGAGAACAUGCUGUGGCCUCCCGCCCACCGGACAGAUGAGGAAACCCACGCCUGAAGUACGAAAGUGACGAGCAGAAGCCCCACAGCCCCGGGGAUGACAGCAGACGCUCCUGAAAAUCCAGGAAUCUGCAACGCAGUGCCUGUGGGAGGCAGACAGGUAUGAUUUGGUUAGGUGCUCGGCAAGAGGGACACAGAGACCUUUCAGGAUGACUGGAGGAAUGGAUUUGUCUGUCUAGCUCUCCGUCUGAUGAUGCAUUGGAGCCUGGGCUUUCGUAUGUCAUCCCACCCUCGUGACCCCUCCAGGAGCUGGAAUCCAAUGGAACUUAGUCCGUGUGAACCCUAGCCUCACCUACUUAUCCCCUUGGUAUGAAAUCCAUGAAACACCGAGGUGUCCAAGUUCCACACAGGAACUAAAAGAAUUGGAGUUUCUGGGACAUCUGGAGCCUGCCUGAAGAAAAGUGAAGAGGCUAGUUACGCAAUCUUAAGAAUUUAUCUAGGAAACAAGGAAGGCUACUGACCAGCAAAUCCAAGCUGUUUAUAUGGGUCUGGAUGUUGUGUGCAUCUUCAGCAGGAACUCCCCUGAAGUGCUUGAGCUUUGAACUUCCUGUCUCCCUUAUCACCAUGGCAAAUGGCACCAUCCACUUGACACACUUCUCUAUAUCACACCACUGAUACCCUGCAAUGAAAAUAAAUUUUAGGCUCAACUGGUUUGUAAGUUUAAUAGACCUUGUGAAUGCACCAGAAAGCCAACGUACCUGAAACCUUUUGCAUCAAUUCAGAGGAAGAGAAAUGAUACAAGGCAGAAGCAGCAAGUACACCAUAGGGAAAUUCUAAGCAGCCAACAUCCAGGACACAAAGAUCUAAAAGCUAUGGAGAAGAAAAGAACACUGAGGCAGACGGCCAUCGCACAUCCCUUCUAGAGUUACGCAAUCUAAUGACGGGGUGGGUAGCCCCACAGAGGGAAGAGUCACUUACCUCUGCAAUCUGUAUGAAGAUCUGCUGGGGGUACUGUGGUAGAAGCACUUCAUAUAAGUCAUUCAGAUAUGCAACCUGCAUAUAUACAUUCAGCCAGGACACAAUGGUAAGGGGACUUAAAUGCCACUUAAGGGCCUAAGGGAAAACAGAAAAGAGACCAACGGUUCAGAAAAGAAAAAGAUAUUUCUGCUCCCCUUGGACCUCUAAAGAAGUUCCAAACACAGCCAUGUUCCACGCCACAAUGUGUCCAGCUGGAGAACACCUAGCCAGAUGCACUCACACUAAUGUGGAAAAGCUAUUAUGUAUGCAUUCUUAAAAAAGACCUGAAAAAUUAACUUGUAACCUACCUUCAUAAUGAUUAAUUCCAUGCUAAGAAUUUCCUCUCCCGAACAAGCCCCAUCUGUAACAUACGCAAACUGGUGAAGCUUUGGAGGAUAGAUUUCCUAAAAGCAAAUAUAAGGGAGAAACAACUUAUAAAAAAUCUCUAAUUGUUCUAACUUAUAACGUACAUCCAAAUAUUGUUUUUAGUAUUUUACCAUGAAAAGAGAGAGGAAACGCCAGGGAAUACAUACAGGAGCUACUCUGCUGGCCGAAAUGUAUUCACUGUGAAAGAAACUCCCCACUCCCCGCCCCCACCAGACCCAUAAAGAAAUGCAUAAAUACAACUUCUACUCAGUGGAGGGAGUUUUGAAAUGUUCACCUUUUUUAAUACCUUUAGCAACAUGUUUGCAAGUUAGGCCCAUUCACCCUUCUAAACACUCCAAAAUUUUAAUUGUCUUGGGUCCGAGUUCAAGUUUUUGGCUUAAGGUAACUACAUUAACCUAAAUAUUUAACGGACUCAGUACUUCUCUCACUUGUUGGUUAAUUUCUAGUCCUUUCUGCGUAUCUUUACUUUAGAUGACCUCAAAUGAGAAAAAUGUACACAAAAAGUUGGCCUCUUCUAGUAAUCACAGAGGAUCUCAAGAAACAGCACAUGCCACAUAACAUUUGAAAAUUAUCUACCUCGAGUUUGGCAGCAAUAAAUAAAGAUGAAAUCCCAAUAAGCUGUAAAAGCGUUUUUACAAUAUUUUGUUGUGUUGCCAUAUACCGAUCAAAGAAAUCCUGUGCCAAGUAAAAUGUCUCUCUAUGAAGUUUAUAGACUUCACACACCUGAAAAGAAAAAAAGUAAGUUUUAGAGCAGUUUCUUGAAAAAAGACAAAAGUAAAACAAAAAAACAGUUGCCAUGAGUUUUGGCGAAGCACAAUAUAACCAAAUCAAGAGAGAACUUUGCUUUGCUGAAAGGAUUGUCACCUUGUUUGUCCCCAGGCACACACACAAGGAUUAAGUGUUCUAUGAUCUACGUAAUAAUAGUAAGAGCAAAUCUUCAUAGGCUGGGGGAGAAAGGUAUGUUCAUCACCUGGUAAAGCAGAAUUUUCAUGGAAAUACUAUGAACAAUUAUCUCGAACUAUAAUGUGAGGACCGUGCCUGCCCUGCCCACCUCCUAGGAUCGCUGAGAGUCAGGGUAAAAUGGUGUGCAUGAGGGAGCUGAGGACGACCAAGGAAAUGUUAGACCUCACCCAUUACCACCAUCAAAUGUCUGAUUAUGCACAUAAAACUGCUAUUCCUAAACUGGCCUUCCCAGGUAUAAGUGAAAUUCAUGGGCUUAAAAAGUAGAAAAGACACCCAUGAAAACAGAACAGUAAUAGAAAAUUCCGUCAGUUACCAAAGAGGAUUUCUAAAGUCCAGGCUAGGGUAUAUUUACAGUCAGUUCUCAUAAAGGAACACAAUUAUAAUCAGAAGUGAACCUAGAGCUUCUGUCCUCUCGGGAACAAACUCUCGACCUCUGUCGCCAGCCCGCACUGGGCACACAGCCUGAGCUCCGCCUUUCCCGCGCGUGGGCCGGCUUCCUGGCUGGGCUAGAGGCUGAGAAAAGCAUCACUGCACACAAGCCUCAAGCACUGUCUCAGCGAGGACGCAAGGGUUACCGUUCUUUUCUGUCUUUUCAAUGGGAUUACAUGACUUUCUCUUGACAGGCUUUCAGAGAAAAACCUUCCUUCAAGUAUUUGGCAUCAACUGCAUUAUACAAAAUAGAACAUGUCAGUCACAGUGUCUAAGGAGCUGAAGCCUGGGAGAAUACAGGACGCCACAUCUAAUGCUUCAAGGCAUUAUAAAUUGACCCACAGGACCCGGAAAGUCCAUGUGCCAUAGUGGGCCCGCGGAAGUCCCCUCCAUGGCCCCUAGUUUUAAGCAGGCCUGCCAAAGAACUCAGCACAGAAAAUGUUACUACAUCCAGAGACCAGUAAAGAAAAGUCAAUUAAUGGUAUAAACAGCUAUCUUGCCGACGCUGGUAAGCUGCACUCCAUCCAGACUAUGGCUAAUCCAUAUAAACUCUGCAAGGGAAACAUUACAGGAGAGAAAACCAAGAUUCUAAGUUGAAUGACUUGCCUAAUGAAGACACAUAGAUGGCGGCAGCAGGGGACGUGUGUGACUCAAGGAUGAGUGCGACGGGCACGUAUACCCUUGGAUACACACUUUCCGAAGAGUACACAGCAGUUUGUUUUUGGGGAAUAUUUAGGCACUCAACUUCCAUCCGUCCUUUCCCAUAAGAUGGAUCUGCCUGAGAUGUCCUUCAACAUUACAGAAGAAAUCCCAUUUCUCAUCACCCAAGGCUUACAAAGGUGUCCAAGAAGCAUCCCUAAACUGAGGCACUACUGAGUCACCCAUAUUUCCUCUCAGAAGGAGGUACACUGUCCAUACAAUAUUGUUUUUUAUUUAAUAAUUACCCAUCAAAACAGGUCAGUGGAAAAUAGAACUUCUGUAAUUAUCUGAACUUUGAAGAGAAAGACCAGAUGCCAACUUAAAAACAUCGAAGACGUAAAGAGCCUUCAGAAAUUCUAGGGAAGAAUGCUGCGGCAUACACUCCACAGCUUCACAGUCUCAGAAUGUGUCAGUAGGAUCAAACGCACAGAGACCGUAACGGCACAGAAGAUUCUAGAAGAGGUCAAGGCUUCCAGGCAGCAGGAAGCCUCGAGCUCACCUCCAUUAACCAAUCCAGAAGAACGGCUCGCAUCCUAGGCUGCAGGAGAGGGUGCCGCUGCAUGAAGCGCUUAUCCCGACACCUAGUAAAACAGAAAAUGUCAACACUGCAGAGCGACCUCCAGACCUAAAAACAUAUUCUGGCUUAAAUUAAGAUGAAGAUGGAACGGACAGCUCAUGAAGGCUGACUAGAGAAGAACAGGGACAACGGGAGGACUAGAAAUGAGCGUGGGGCCUUGCGCGCCAGGUGCUGCCUGGGAACUACGGCAGAGGUGUGCUAUCACAGCACACUGGCCGCUCUCAGAGGAAGCCAGAGCGCUUUCAGCGUGCUCAGCGAGCGAAGCAGGAUGAGGCUCUUCUCCACCCAGGGUGCAAAGAACUGGGCAUGCAAAUUAGCCAUGACAACUCCUGCCAACAGCUGUUCCAGAAGGGCAGCCUCCUCUUCCAGCUCUGGUAUCACGUGCUGGUGGCAUUUCCUUGACUCAAAAAGGGUCACAUUACAAGUGCUUCAAGUUGCUCUUCAUUCAAGAAUGAAUUCUGGUUUUGAAGGCAGAGGCUGGGAACCACCCUCUAGAGCCAGAUGGCCGAAAUAGCAGAGAGCAGGCUUUUGGGGAUAAAAUGGCAGCAGUUUCCAACCUGCAGGUUCAUAGACAAAUCGGGUGAACCACAAGUGGACACAUGGUUCUGAAAGUUGGCCAUUAACUUGAGCCUAUACUGGGUUUCAAAGGAGGUGAGAUCGACUCAACUUUAGGAAGGAAUGGGAUAAGAGCAAGAGACCAAUUUUGACUAUUUCUAAUCACUUCUGCGUCCUUAUGCCACUUUUAAUUAAGAACUACCUAUGUAAAAUUAGGUCUGAGAAGUAACUCAUGCAAAGUCCAGCAUUUCAUGUUGGGUCUUAUGCAAAAAAUUAAACAACAAAAUGGGUGUGUUAAAUGGAUUUUAGAUAAAAGGAUAUUCUUUUUGUUAAGAAAGGCCUCAGGUUAAGGGGCGCCUGGGUGGCUCAGCCGGUUAAGCGUCCGGCUUCAGCUCAGGUCAUGAUCUC
This is a long non-coding RNA of Suricata suricatta (meerkat), 5134 nucleotides long. RefSeq lists it as uncharacterized. The transcript has 7 exons. The record is from RefSeq and is a predicted model, not a curated record. Lineage: Eukaryota; Metazoa; Chordata; Mammalia; Carnivora; Herpestidae.